ACAUGCAGUCGAGCGAGCUGAAUUCAAAGAUUCCUUCGGGAUGAUUUGUUGGACGCUAGCGGCGGAUGGGUGAGUAACACGUGGGCAAUCUGCCCUAAAGACUGGGAUACCACUUGGAAACAGGUGCUAAUACCGGAUAACAACAUGAAUCGCAUGAUUCAAGUUUGAAAGGCGGCGUAAGCUGUCACUUUAGGAUGAGCCCGCGGCGCAUUAGCUAGUUGGUGGGGUAAAGGCCUACCAAGGCAAUGAUGCGUAGCCGAGUUGAGAGACUGAUCGGCCACAUUGGGACUGAGACACGGCCCAAACUCCUACGGGAGGCAGCAGUAGGGAAUCUUCCACAAUGGACGCAAGUCUGAUGGAGCAACGCCGCGUGAGUGAAGAAGGUUUUCGGAUCGUAAAGCUCUGUUGUUGGUGAAGAAGGAUAGAGGCAGUAACUGGUCUUUAUUUGACGGUAAUCAACCAGAAAGUCACGGCUAACUACGUGCCAGCAGCCGCGGUAAUACGUAGGUGGCAAGCGUUGUCCGGAUUUAUUGGGCGUAAAGCGAGCGCAGGCGGAAUGAUAAGUCUGAUGUGAAAGCCCACGGCUCAACCGUGGAACUGCAUCGGAAACUGUCAUUCUUGAGUGCAGAAGAGGAGAGUGGAAUUCCAUGUGUAGCGGUGGAAUGCGUAGAUAUAUGGAAGAACACCAGUGGCGAAGGCGGCUCUCUGGUCUGCAACUGACGCUGAGGCUCGAAAGCAUGGGUAGCGAACAGGAUUAGAUACCCUGGUAGUCCAUGCCGUAAACGAUGAGCGCUAGGUGUUGGGGACUUUCCGGUCCUCAGUGCCGCAGCAAACGCAUUAAGCGCUCCGCCUG
RNAcentral lists this ribosomal RNA (853 nucleotides) under Lactobacillus delbrueckii. RNAcentral's name for it is "bacterial SSU rRNA". It matches the Rfam family "Bacterial small subunit ribosomal RNA", at positions 53 to 875 of the family's 1533-position model. Lineage: Bacteria; Bacillati; Bacillota; Bacilli; Lactobacillales; Lactobacillaceae. The record is from RNAcentral.